Molecule: long non-coding RNA, 338 nt
Filed under: Trifolium pratense (red clover)
Lineage: Eukaryota; Viridiplantae; Streptophyta; Magnoliopsida; Fabales; Fabaceae
Description: long non-coding RNA (TPRA_LNC006327)
Source: RNAcentral
UUUUUUAUAAUAACAAAUAGAUAAUUAGUAGGUGUAAAAUUUAUUUUUAAAAAUGCAGUAAUUCGUCUUGAUAUAGGAAUGAUUGACAUAAGAACUAUAUAUAUCAUUAUCUAGGAGCAAGCUAAAAGAUUAAAUAUUGUGUAUAACAUGAACAAUAAUUUUAUACAUGUCUACCUUAAACAAUACUGAGGCAAUAAUAUAGUAUUUAUUUAAUUUAUUCUUCGAUUACCAAUAUCAUAACUUAUAAGAAAAUAAUAAGCUUAAAUAUAACAUAGAUUUAUUUUUUAACUUGAUUUUUUCAAAGGUUGGCAGGUACAAAUAAUCCAAAGGCACUCCGG